GAUGAACGCUGGCGGCGUGCCUAAUACAUGCAAGUCGAGCGAACAGACGAGGAGCUUGCUCCUCUUACGUUAGCGGCGGACGGGUGAGUAACACGUGGAUAACCUACCUAUAAGACUGGGAUAACUUCGGGAAACCGGAGCUAAUACCGGAUAAUAUAUUGAACCGCAUGGUUCAAUAGUGAAAGACGGUUUUGCUGUCACUUAUAGAUGGAUCCGCGCCGCAUUAGCUAGUUGGUAAGGUAACGGCUUACCAAGGCAACGAUGCGUAGCCGACCUGAGAGGGUGAUCGGCCACACUGGAACUGAGACACGGUCCAGACUCCUACGGGAGGCAGCAGUAGGGAAUAUUCCGCAAUGGGCGAAAGCCUGACGGAGCAACGCCGCGUGAGUGAUGAAGGUCUUCGGAUCGUAAAACUCUGUUAUUAGGGAAGAACAAAUGUGUAAGUAACUAUGCACGUAUUGACGGUACCUAAUCAGAAAGCCACGGCUAACUACGUG
Molecule: ribosomal RNA, 497 nt
Filed under: uncultured bacterium
Lineage: Bacteria
Description: partial 16S ribosomal RNA
Rfam family: Bacterial small subunit ribosomal RNA
Source: RNAcentral